CUAAAUAUGCACUAGAACAUGUUUGGGAGUGUUUUUGGGCAUUCGGUUCCGGCACGAAAAAUGAUGCAAAACGGGUGCAUUUCGGCACCCGAAUGCACUAUUGCCGGGUAGCGAAACUCGGGUGGAUUUUUUUCGCAACGAACGCAUGCAAUCUUCCUAAAUAUGCACUAGAACAUGUUUGGGAGUGUUUUUGGGCAUUCGGUUCCGGCACGAAAAACGAUGCAAAACGGGUGCAUUUCGGCACCCGAAUGCACUAUUGCCGGGUAGCGAAACUCGGGUGGAUUUUUUCGCAACGAACGCAUGCAAUCUUCCUAAAUAUGCACUAGAACAUGUUUGGGAGUGUUUUUGGGCAUUCGGUUCCGGCACGAAAAAUGAUGCAAAACGGGUGCAUUUCAGGCACCCGAAUGCACUAUUGCCGGGUAGCGAAACUCGGGUGGAUUUUUUCGCAACGAACGCAUGCAAUCUUCCUAAAUAUGCACUAGAACAUGUUUGGGAGUGUUUUUGGGCAUUCGGUUCCGGCACGAAAAACGAUGCAAAACGGGUGCAUUUCGGCACCCGAAUGCACUAUUGCCGGAGAGCGAAACUCGGGUGGAUUUUUUCGCAACGAACGCAUGCAAUCUUCCUAAAUAUGCACUAGAACAUGUUUGGGAGUGUUUUUGGCCAUUCGGUUCCGGCACGAAAAAUGAUGCAAAACGGGUGCAUUUCGGCACCCGAAUGCACUAUUGCCGGGUAGCGAAACUCGGGUGGAUUUUUUUGCAACGAACGCAUGCAAUCUUCCUAAAUAUGCACUAGAACAUGUUUGGGAGUGUUUUUGGGCAUUCGGUUUCGGCACGAAAAACGAUGCAAAACGGGUGCAUUUCGGCACCCGAAUGCACUAUUGCCGGGUAGCGAAACUCGGGUGGAUUUUUUCGCAACGAACGCAUGCAAUCUUCCUAAAUAUGCACUAGAACAUGUUUGGGAGUGUUUUUGG
Molecule: long non-coding RNA, 970 nt
Filed under: Setaria viridis
Lineage: Eukaryota; Viridiplantae; Streptophyta; Magnoliopsida; Poales; Poaceae
Description: long non-coding RNA (SVIR_LNC006967)
Source: RNAcentral